RNAcentral lists this ribosomal RNA (523 nucleotides) under uncultured bacterium. RNAcentral describes it as "bacterial SSU rRNA". It matches the Rfam family "Bacterial small subunit ribosomal RNA", at positions 774 to 1296 of the family's 1533-position model. The record is from RNAcentral.
AGAGAAUAGAUACCCUGGUAGUCCACGCCGUAAACGAUGAGCACUAGUUAUUGGGGGUAUUGACUCCCUCAGUGACGCAGCUAACGCAUUAAGUGCUCCGCCUGGGGAGUACGGUCGCAAGACUAAAACUCAAACAAAUUGACGGGGGCCCGCACAAGCGGUGGAUUAUGUGGUUUAAUUCGAAGCAACGCGCAGAACCUUACCUAGGCUUGAACUCCUACGAACCUCUUGUAAUGGAGAGGGUGUCCGCAAGGAAAUGUAGUGAGAGGUGCUGCAUGGCUGUCGUCAGCUCGUGUUGUGAAAUGUUGGGUUAAGUCUCGCAACGAGCGCAACCCCUAUCGUCUGUUGCCAGCAUUAAGUUGGGCACUCUGACGAGACUGCCUGGGUUAACCAGGAGGAAGGUGGGGAUGACGUCAAGUCCUCAUGGCCCUUAUGUCUAGGGCUACACACGUAAUACAAUGGCGCGUACAAAGGGAGCGAACUCGCAAGGGGAGCAAAUCUCAAAAAGCGCGUCUCAGUUCGG